UCUCCGUUGGUGAACCAGCGGAGGGAUCAUUACAGAGUUGCAAAACUCCCAAACCAUUGUGAACGUUACCUAUCCCGUUGCUUCGGCGGGCGGCCCGGGCCCCGCGCCCGGCGCCCCCCGGCCCCCCGUGGGCGCCCGCCGGAGGUAAACCAAACCCUUGAAUUGCAUGGCCUCUCUGAGUCUUCUGUACUGAAUAAGUCGAAACUUUCAACAACGGAUCCCUUGGUUCUG
Molecule: unclassified non-coding RNA, 231 nt
Filed under: plant metagenome
Description: partial contains small subunit ribosomal RNA, internal transcribed spacer 1, and 5.8S ribosomal RNA
Source: RNAcentral